UUGUGGGGUGAACAGCCAGGCUUGCUUGAGGACUCCUGGUUUUAACUCUGCUGGCGUGGUAUCCGUGCUUUAGCUCUGCACUGAGAGAAAGACCCUUUUGAGUGUACCCAGAAAGUCAAUACAUUG
RNAcentral lists this small nucleolar RNA (126 nucleotides) under Sorex araneus (European shrew). Its description in RNAcentral is "Small nucleolar RNA SNORA22 (ENSSARG00000020037.1)". The record is from RNAcentral. Lineage: Eukaryota; Metazoa; Chordata; Mammalia; Eulipotyphla; Soricidae.